Molecule: non-coding RNA, 778 nt
Filed under: Comicus campestris
Lineage: Eukaryota; Metazoa; Arthropoda; Insecta; Orthoptera; Schizodactylidae
Source: RNAcentral
AUUUAAUUUUGUCUUGGUUAAAAUAUUUAUUAGAUUAUUAUAUUACAUGCAAAUUUUUGUGAAAAGUAUAUUUAAAUAAUAAUUGGAAUGCAGUGAUAAUAAUUAAUUAUCAAGGUUAUCUUGGAAUUAGUAAUUAAUAUAAUAUUGGCUAAAAUUUGUGCCAGCUGCCGCGGUUAGACAAUGAAUGUGAAUAAAUAUUUUUAGUUAGAAAUUAAUUGAAUUAAUAUAUAUAUAUAUAUAUAUUAUAAUUUUGGGUAAAAUCAAAUUAUAAUGAUAAUUAUAUAGAAAUUUUUUUGAAGUUUUGAAAUUUUUAUGAGAAACUAGGAUUAGAUACCCUAUUAUUUAAAAUGUAAAAUUAUUACUAGAGUAGUAAGAGUUAAGGUCUUGAAACUCAAAAGAUUUGACGGUAACUUAAGCUUUUAGAGGAAUCUGUUUCGUAAUCGAUAAUACACGAUUUAUUUGACUUGUUCUAGUAUAUUCAGCUUGUAUACCGCUGUCGUAAGUUUGUCUUUUUAGAGGUAAUUUUCUAAAAUAAUAAUGUUAAUAAUGUCAGGUCAAGGUGCAGUUUAUGGACAAGAGUUUAAUGGAUUACAAUAAGUUUAUUUAAAUGGAUUUGUAUUUGAAAAAUACAAUGAAGGUGGAUUUAAAAGUAAUGUUUAGAAAAUUAAAAUGUGAAUAUGAUAUUAAGUUGUGUACACAUUGCCCGUCGCUCUCGUUAUUAAAAUGAGAUAAGUCGUAACAUAGUAGAUGUACUGGAAAGUGUAUCUAGAAUGAUAAA